GAUAAUAGCACAAUCCUAUUCAAGUGUCCAUACUGACAAUAGGGUUUACGACCUCGAUGUUGGAUCAGGACACCCCGAUGGUGCAACCGCUAUCAAAGGUUCGUUUGUUCAACGAUUAAAGUCCUACAUGAUCUGAGUUCAGACUGGAGCAAUCCAGGUU
This 160-nucleotide non-coding RNA is filed under the name Ovis aries (sheep). RNAcentral describes it as "Bacterial large subunit ribosomal RNA". It matches the Rfam family "Bacterial large subunit ribosomal RNA", at positions 2473 to 2632 of the family's 2925-position model. The record is from Rfam by way of RNAcentral. Lineage: Eukaryota; Metazoa; Chordata; Mammalia; Artiodactyla; Bovidae.